Molecule: long non-coding RNA, 283 nt
Organism: Lepisosteus oculatus (spotted gar)
Lineage: Eukaryota; Metazoa; Chordata; Actinopteri; Semionotiformes; Lepisosteidae
Source: RefSeq, a predicted model, not a curated record
GGUAUUGGGCCUAGCAGGCGUCUGUCAGUUUGGGGUUUGGUUGACUUCCCUGUCAAGUUGCGUUGCACCGAGACGUACGUGGCGUUCCAUUAAGCCUGCUUGGGAAGGUGAUGUCAGUGUGGGUUUUUUAAGUGGUAAAGGUGCUCAGGCACAACAGGGGAUCAAUGUGCUAACCAAUACAGAACAUCCAGGAGCCUGCUUUUAAGGAAACUGAGGACUGCAUCUGCAAGAUUAACAACUUUUCCAUAGUGGAUGAGCUGUAAAUCCAGAUAGUUUCUGGAAG